This 305-nucleotide ribosomal RNA is filed under the name uncultured bacterium. RNAcentral describes it as "bacterial SSU rRNA". It matches the Rfam family "Bacterial small subunit ribosomal RNA", at positions 332 to 630 of the family's 1533-position model. The record is from RNAcentral.
CUUAUCCUACGGGGGGCAGCAGUAGGGAAUCUUCCACAAUGGGCGAAAGCCUGAUGGAGCAACGCCGCGUGGGUGAAGAAGGUCUUCGGAUCGUAAAACCCUGUUGUUAGAGAAGAAAGUGCGUGAGGGUAACUGUUCACGUUUCGACGGUAUCUAACCAGAAAGCCACGGCUAACUACGUGCCAGCAGCCGCGGUAAUACGUAGGUGGCAAGCGUUAUCCGGCUUUAUUGGACGUAAAGGGAACGCAGGCGGUCUUUUAAGUCUGCUGUUAAAGUCUUCGGCUGAACAGGAGUAUGUCAUUGGA